CCAUCUAUCCUUCCAUCCCUCCAUUUGCCCAUCCACCGAACCAGUAAGAACUUCAUCAGCACCUGCUGUAAGCUCACUUCAGGCUCAGUGGUGGUGACUGCUGGGUGUUUGGGGAGCCAGGCACCCCCAUGUCUCCCUUCUAGGUUCUCACCAGUAGAGAGCAGACCCUGGGAGCCAGGAGCUGCUUUAACAGAGGCAGCAGGACCCCCAUUUCCCAAAGCCCAGUACAUAACAGCCACCACUUUAGGUGCUGGGAACAGCACGGGGAGCAGACCAGCUUUGCCUUUUCUGGGGCGUCAGCUGGUUGGAACCCACAGCAUGUGACGUGUCCCACCAGCUCCCUUCACUGGGCGACGUGCCUUUGUCAGCUCACAUUGCGGCGCUCGCUGGGCCUUGUCCCGCUGGGGGCUCUGG
Long non-coding RNA from Choloepus didactylus (southern two-toed sloth), 414 nucleotides. RefSeq lists it as uncharacterized. The transcript has 3 exons. Lineage: Eukaryota; Metazoa; Chordata; Mammalia; Pilosa; Megalonychidae. The record is from RefSeq and is a predicted model, not a curated record.